RNAcentral lists this long non-coding RNA (306 nucleotides) under Penaeus japonicus. Its description in RNAcentral is "uncharacterized LOC122244517". Lineage: Eukaryota; Metazoa; Arthropoda; Malacostraca; Decapoda; Penaeidae. The record is from RNAcentral.
GCUUUGGUGAUACAACGCAACGAGACGUGUAUGGUGCAGUGUCUGUCGAAAUAUAUAUAUAUUUUUUAAAACUCUACUAAGUUAAAGGACAACGCUAUACCCUAGAAGAAAGAAAAUGAAGAAUUUCCUGCUGAUAUUCCUUCUCUGUGUCUGCAUAUGCCAUGGCGACAGUUUAUUUGGCGACGCGGAUGUCAAAGAAAACUGGAUAGCCAGACUUUACAAAGACAAACUUCAAAAUUACAGUAAGGCGUCGCGACCUGUCCUUGACCCGAGCCACAACACGACGGUCCACUUGGGCAUGGCGUU